CCUACGUGAGGCAGCCGUGGGGAAUAUUGGGCAAUGGGCGCAAGCCUGACCCAGCAAUGCCGCGUGAAGGAAGAAGGCUUUCGGGUUGUAAACUUCUUUGACAGGGGAAGAGCAGAAGACGGUACCCUGAAAACAAGCCACGUCUAACUACGUGCCAGCAGCCGCGGUAAUACGUAGGUGGCACGCGUUGUCCGGAUUUAAUGGGUGUAAAGUGCGUGUAGCCGGGAAGGCAAGUCAGAUGUGAAAUCUGGAGGCUCAACCUCCAAAUUGCAUUUGAAACUGUUUUUCUUGAGUACUGGAGAGGCAGACGGAAUUCCUUGUGGAGCGGUGAAAGGCGUAGAUAUAAGGAGGAACACCAGUGGCGAAGGCGGUCUGCUGGACAGCAACUGACGGUGAGGCGCGAAAGCGUGGGGAGCAAACAGGAUUAGAUACCCCAGUAGUC
RNAcentral lists this ribosomal RNA (442 nucleotides) under uncultured bacterium. RNAcentral describes it as "partial 16S ribosomal RNA". It matches the Rfam family "Bacterial small subunit ribosomal RNA", at positions 338 to 795 of the family's 1533-position model. The record is from RNAcentral.